AAAAAUUCCCAUGAGAAUUGGAUUUAAAAUGGAUGAGAUAUGAUUUUUACAAGUUUGAUGAUCAAAAGUGAAAUAAAAAUGAAAAAAAAAAUAUGAUAAUUAAGUAGAGAUCAUGAUGAAAAUAAUGCAAAAAUUCCCAUGAGAAUUGGAUUUAAAAUGGAUGAGAUAUGAUUUUUACAAGUUUGAUGAUCAAAAGUGAAAUAAAAA
This 207-nucleotide long non-coding RNA is filed under the name Lathyrus oleraceus (garden pea). RNAcentral describes it as "Pisum sativum (pea) long non-coding RNA (PSAT_LNC035350)". Lineage: Eukaryota; Viridiplantae; Streptophyta; Magnoliopsida; Fabales; Fabaceae. The record is from RNAcentral.